RNAcentral lists this ribosomal RNA (445 nucleotides) under uncultured bacterium. Its description in RNAcentral is "partial 16S ribosomal RNA". It matches the Rfam family "Bacterial small subunit ribosomal RNA", at positions 354 to 796 of the family's 1533-position model. The record is from RNAcentral.
GUGAGGAAUAUUGGUCAAUGGACGAGAGUCUGAACCAGUCAAGUCGCGUGAAGGAAGACGGUUCUAUGAAUUGUAAACUUCUUUUGCAGGAGGGUAAAGUGAGCUACGUGUAGUUCAUUGCAAGUACCCUGCGAAUAAGCAACGGCUAACUCCGUGCCAGCAGCCGCGGUAAUACGGCGGAUGCGAGCGUUAUCCGGAUUUAUUGGGUUUAAAGGGUGCGCAGGCGGGUUGAUAAGUCAGCGGUGAAAGUUUGCAGCUUAACUGUAGAAGUGCCGUUGAAACUGUCGAUCUUGAGUGCAAAUGAGGUAAGCGGAAUGUGUUGUGUAGCGGUGAAAUGCUUAGAUAUAACACAGAACGCCGAUUGCGAAGGCAGCUUACUGGGAUGCAACUGACACUGAUGCACGAAAGCGUGGGUAUCAAACAGGAUUAGAUACCCGGGUAGUCC